AAAUUAUAGAGAGAGAGACAGAGAUAAAGGGGGUCCUCAAAGAUUAUGCCCCAAAGCCAAAGCCGAAGCCAAAGCCAAAGCCAAAGCCCAAAGCCUUUACUUUGAUUUGCAGAGAGAAUCCAAAGGAUUUCUCUUUCUCUUACAAGAACGCGAAGAACUGAAAACUGCAGUUCUCUCUCUCUCUCUCUCUCUCUCUCUCUCUCUAUCUUUCAUAUAUUAGCAUAAAUACACACAGAAAAAGAAAAAGGGGAAACAAAAAAAAGAAACAGAAAGGAAAGACACACAAAGAACAGAGAUUUACAUACAUGCAUAGAUACCUAUAAAGGGGAAGAGAAAGAAAGGAUUGUUAUAUUGAGGUAGUUUCAAUCAGUUGAGUCCCCCCUUUUCUUUCUUCUCAUCCGAGAAAAUAUUGAACAGUGGUUUUCUAGAGAUAAACAAGGAUUUGGAUUAGUUUCAUCACAGAAACCGGUGCUCCUUUGGGGUUUGGAUCCAGAAGACAUGUUGGAAGACCGGGCUUGUUUGGUUUCAAGGGAUUAUUCGAGGACCUGUGAUCGAGAAGGAAAUUGGCCUUGCAUGAAUUACAGGCUGGAAAAAUCUGAGGUUCAACAGAGCAAGCGACGGUUGGAGGAAACAAAUGGAGGGGAAGAAGUUAUUGUCAGGAAGGUGUCUAAGCGCUCAGGCAAUCAAAUAGAUACUGCUUUAUCAGUUGGUGGAUUUUUGAUGUCCUUUUCCAGCCAAUCUGACCAAUCCAAUCGUCAGCGGCGUGAAGGUGAUGAUUCUGAUUCUAGUUCAUUGAUUGCUGCCAUUGGUCGCGACAACUCCAUUAGUUGUCUCAUUAAGUGCUCGAGGGCUGAUUAUGGUGCAAUUGCUUCCUUGAACCGGAGCUUUCGUUCCCUUAUUAGAAGUGGUGAGCUAUAUAAAUUGAGGAGGCAAAAUGGUGUGGUAGAGCAUUGGGUUUAUUUUUCCUGCCAGCUGCUCGAAUGGGAAGCCUUUGACCCUAGUCGUCGCCAUUGGAUGCACUUACCGAGAAUGAAUCCUAAUGAAUGUUUUGUGUUUGCAGAUAAGGAAUCUUUGGCCGUUGGAACUGAGCUUCUUGUUUUCGGGAAGGCUCUCAUGUCCCAUGUGAUUUAUCGUUACAGUUUGUUGACAAACACGUGGACUUCCGGAAUGAGCAUGAAUUCACCUAGAUGUUUGUUUGGUUCUGCAAGCCUCGGGGAAAUCGCCAUACUGGCUGGCGGUUGCGACUCACAUGGUAAUAUCCUUAGUUCCGCUGAGCUAUACAAUUCAGAGGAGGGCACGUGGAUGACACUCCCAAGCAUGAAAAAACCAAGGAAGAUGUGUUCCGGGGUGUUCAUGGACGGAAACUUUUAUGUAAUUGGAGGAAUUGGAGGAGCUGAUGGAAAGCUUCUAACCUGUGCAGAGGAAUAUAACUUGGAAACUCAAACUUGGACUGAAAUCCCUAACAUGUCCCCAGUGCGGACUGGUGCAGCAAGGGACAAUGAACCACCCGCUGCAUCUGAAGCACCACCAUUGAUUGCUGUUGUAAAUAAUCAAUUAUAUGCUGCAGAUUAUGCUGAUAUGGAGGUCAGAAAGUAUGACAAAGACAAUAGGGUGUGGGUUACGGUAGGAAGAUUGCCAGAACGGGCUGAUUCUAUGUAUGGUUGGGGUUUAGCAUUUAGAGGAUGUGGUGAUCGGCUUAUUGUGAUUGGGGGGCCUCGAAACGCGGGCGAAGGAUUUAUUGAAGUGAAUUCUUGGGUUCCCAGUGAAGGUCCUCCACAGUGGGAUUUGCUGGGCAGGAAGAGAUCGGGUAGUUUUGUUUAUAAUUGUGCUGUGAUGGGGUGCUGAAUAUUUGCAUCAUUGCGGCGCCAUGUGUACCAUUACAGUGUUGUAUCCUCGUGUUUAGAAAUGGGUUUCUGGAUGCACCGCAUCUUGCUGAUGGUGGUUUUUACGGCUUGCUGUGUCGUUCAUUGGCCAUGCAGUAUUAGCGCACAGGAUACUAUCGUCAAAGUAUUGGCAUUGGAAUUGUUUUCUUGAUCAUAUAUGUUAGGCCUUUGUCUGGCGGAGUUUGAUGCUUAUAUGAUCUUUGAAAUAUUUGAUGAAAUUAAAUAAAAGUUUUAGGAGUCUAUACAAGUUAUCUAAGGAAACUGUGAGUUGCUGAUCUGUUUUCAGGUGGCUGGCAUUUUCCUUUUUUAGUUUGAUAUAAAUAAUUG
Molecule: non-coding RNA, 2210 nt
Organism: Sesamum indicum (sesame)
Lineage: Eukaryota; Viridiplantae; Streptophyta; Magnoliopsida; Lamiales; Pedaliaceae
Source: RefSeq, a predicted model, not a curated record